This is a non-coding RNA of Pelobates cultripes (western spadefoot toad), 251 nucleotides long. The record is from the annotation of a GenBank genome assembly. Lineage: Eukaryota; Metazoa; Chordata; Amphibia; Anura; Pelobatidae.
UGUUACCCUGGAAGUUACACACCCAGCACUUUGUUUGAUUUGAUGGAUUGCCUUGUGAGAAGAUGGAUUUAGCUGGUUAACAACUGCAUUAGCAAGCCACACCGAGUUUCUGAUCGCAGAUCCAGCAAGUGGGAGAUAGUCCUGCAAAAUGUGACCGUUGCACCUCGCCAGGUACCCAUCGGGGUAACACAGGAUAAUCCAUUUGGAAUAUUCACAAAGAAUGGAGAGCCAGCUACAAGUGCUGUUAUUGU